This 822-nucleotide ribosomal RNA is filed under the name Schizochytrium aggregatum. RNAcentral's name for it is "partial Bacterial large subunit ribosomal RNA". It matches the Rfam family "Bacterial large subunit ribosomal RNA", at positions 1579 to 2410 of the family's 2925-position model. The record is from RNAcentral. Lineage: Eukaryota; Bigyra; Thraustochytrida; Thraustochytriidae.
UUAGUACCGAAGUACCCGAUGUCACACUGUCAAGAAAAUUUCCUAGUUAGAAUAUCACUGCCCGUACCGCAAACCGACACAGGUAGUCGAGGAGAGAAUCCUAAGGUGAGCGAGAGAACUUUCGUUAAGGAACUCGGCAAAAUGACCCCGUAACUUAGGGAUAAGGGGUGCUGACCUCUGGUCAGCCGCAGUGAAUAGGCCCAGGCGACUGUUUAUCAAAAACACAGGUCUCUGCUAACUCGAAAGAGGAUGUAUAGGGGCUGACACCUGCCCGGUGCUGGAAGGUUAAGUGGACGCGUUAGCCGCAAGGCGAAGCGCUGAAAUGAAGCCCCAGUAAACGGCGGCCGUAACUAUAACGGUCCUAAGGUAGCGAAAUUCCUUGUCGGGUAAGUUCCGACCUGCACGAAUGGCGUAACGACUUCCCAGCUGUCUCAACCGCGAACUCGGCGAAAUUGCACUACGAGUAAAGAUGCUCGUUACGCGCGGCAGGACGAAAAGACCCCGGGACCUUCACUAUAGCUUGGUAUUGGUGUUCGAUUCGGUUUGUGUAGGAUAGGUGGGAGACUGUGAUCACAUGGCGCUAGUUGUGUGUGAGUCGUUGUUGAAAUACCACUCUGAUCGGAUUGGAUACCUUCAACCUUGGCCCAUGAUCUGGGUCGGGGACAGUGCCUGGUGGGUAGUUUAACUGGGGCGGUUGCCUCCUAAAGAGUAACGGAGGCGCCCAAAGGUUCCCUCAGCUUGGUUGGUAAUCAGGUGUUGAGUGUAAGUGCACAAGGGAGCUUGACUGUGAGAGUGACAACUCGAGCAGGGACGAAAGUCGGG